CAGAGUGUCAUAUGCUGAAGAACAAAGAAGCAUUAAAGUAUAACUGGGGAGAUUCAUGGAUUUACAUGUUUGUUGUUCAUUGACUUCCAUGUUAAAUGCCCAUAAAGGGCCAUACAUGGUUUCAAACACAGCAAAAUAUCCUCAGUGUCUUCUCUCAUGGAACUCAUGGACUGAAAAAACUGAGAAGUUGAAGUAUAUCAGAACUUACAUAACUGUCAUGAGACAAUAAUAAUAAGGAAAACUUGCAUUUUAAUCCCUGGCACUAACGGAGUUCACAUGAGAAGACAGUGCAAAGUAAGAGACAAAGAAAACUCCAAAGGUUGCACGAAACAAAGCCAUGAACUGCAGGCACAGUGGUGAGAAAGACAAAGGAAGAUUUAAGAAGAUAUAAAACACUAGUUAAGGGAAAUUGGGGAGCAAAUUUUGAGAUGCUGAAUAGGAUUCUCAUACAAAGUUAAGUAUUUACUUGAAUUUUGUGAGGAAAACAGUACAGAUAGCACAUUGCCUAGUUGCAUGAAGUAGCCGGGUUCACUCAAGGCUACUAUGUUUCCAGUGUUUUCCUUCUAGUGAGCAGCUUGAGAGUAUUCACGAAGAAUAGCAAGUCAGUUGUAUAAAGGUACAUAUAACUGCAUUUUUCCCAGCUCUUGUUAUGUUACCUGGAGGAAUCACCAAAUUAUUCUAGGUAGGCUAAAAUUAAUAAUAGUGCAUCAAAUUGUGAUUCCAUAGGUUUAAAAUCAGAAGGAAGUAUUUAAAAGGAGGAGAUAGAAAUAUGCUACAUAGGUAAUUUCCUGUACAAGAAUAAUUAAUACCUGGUAAUCUCAGAAGUACUAUGGUCUUCUAGUUUACAACAGUAUGUUCAGAAUGUACCUCCAAUGUGCAAAUCUGCCAGUAUUCUGAGUCCAAUUAUGCUCCUCAUACAUUGCUGACAUUUCCUUGUAUUUCUUCCAAGACAUUUAACUUUCAAAAAUAAAAAAAAUACAACCCUAUUUUCCCUACAGUUUUAUCUGUAUUUCCCAUUAAUCUUUAUUUUCUUGAAGCUGUAGCCAUUGUUAAUGGGAACUAAGGAAGUUACAAUCUCAUGGAAAUUAAUGUUGAUGAAAAUAGAUUUCCUAUCAUUUAUAUAGGAAAGACAUGAUCCAUAAUUGCUGGUAAAAUGUAAGCAGUAGUCAUGUGUAAAUUGAUCCCUUUAAGAGAAAUACAUGGGUUUAAGGUCACUAUUUCUAACAUGCAUCAUUCAUU
This 1239-nucleotide long non-coding RNA is filed under the name Cricetulus griseus (Chinese hamster). Its description in RNAcentral is "lncRNA (ENSCGRG00015039903.1)". The record is from RNAcentral. Lineage: Eukaryota; Metazoa; Chordata; Mammalia; Rodentia; Cricetidae.